CUGCAGUGAUGACUUUCUUAGGACACCUUUGGAUUUAUCAUGAAAAUAUCUGAAUUCUGAGCAGC
This 65-nucleotide small nucleolar RNA is filed under the name Crocodylus porosus (Australian saltwater crocodile). RNAcentral's name for it is "Small nucleolar RNA SNORD58 (ENSCPRG00005014631.1)". It matches the Rfam family "Small nucleolar RNA SNORD58". Rfam says of the family: snoRNA U58 is found in introns 1, 3 and 6 of the ribosomal protein RPL17 gene in humans. Lineage: Eukaryota; Metazoa; Chordata; Crocodylia; Crocodylidae. The record is from Rfam by way of RNAcentral.